RNAcentral lists this ribosomal RNA (460 nucleotides) under uncultured bacterium. Its description in RNAcentral is "partial 16S ribosomal RNA". It matches the Rfam family "Bacterial small subunit ribosomal RNA", at positions 338 to 795 of the family's 1533-position model. The record is from RNAcentral.
CCUACGGGAGGCAGCAGUGAGGAAUAUUGGUCAAUGGACGAGAGUCUGAACCAGCCAAGUAGCGUGAAGGAUGAAUGCACGAUGGGUUGUAAACUUCUUUUAUAAAGGAAUAAAACGAGGCACGUGUGCCUUUUUGCAUGUACUUUAUGAAUAAGGAUCGGCUAACUCCGUGCCAGCAGCCGCGGUAAUACGGAGGAUCCGAGCGUUAUCCGGAUUUAUUGGGUUUAAAGGGGGCGUAGAUGGGUUGUUAAGUAAGUUGUGAAAGUUUGAGGCUCAACCGUCAAACUGCAAUUGAUACUGGCAGUCUUGAGUACAGUUGAGGUAGGCGGAAUGCGUGGUGUAGCGGUGAAAUGCUUAGAUAUCACGAAGAACCCCGAUUGCGAAGGCAGCUUACUAACCUGUGACUGACAUUGAUGCUCGAAAGUGUGGGUAUCAAACAGGAUUAGAUACCCGGGUAGUC